ACAGCACACACACAGCAGUGUAUGUAUGUGUGUAUAUAUAUAUAUAUAUAUAUAUAUAUUUAUAUGUAUAUAUAUAUAUAUAUACACACACACACACACAUACAUAUACACGCGGCGUGUGUUUGUG
Non-coding RNA from Pelobates cultripes (western spadefoot toad), 127 nucleotides. The record is from the annotation of a GenBank genome assembly. Lineage: Eukaryota; Metazoa; Chordata; Amphibia; Anura; Pelobatidae.